This 1143-nucleotide long non-coding RNA is filed under the name Triticum aestivum (bread wheat). RNAcentral's name for it is "long non-coding RNA (TAES_LNC009780)". Lineage: Eukaryota; Viridiplantae; Streptophyta; Magnoliopsida; Poales; Poaceae. The record is from RNAcentral.
UGGAAGGACAUGUAACAAACAUAGGCUCCCCCACAUGUAUGCAAUCAUAUGAAUAUAAAAUAUAGAAGCAUGUGAGAGCAUAAUCAUGAUAGAGUAGGCAAUGUGUUACAUGUAUCUUGGCCAUAUGCAUCAGAGUAAAAGAUUAUCAAGGAAAAUACCUUCAUGCUCAUGAGUCCUUCUUGCAAACAGUAUGUACAUAAGCAAGAACUCCUCAUACUCAUGAUUUUGAUGCAUACACUUACCUUGUAGUUUUUGAGUUGGCUUAGGAUAGAAUGAACCUGCACAAACAAAGUUAGAUAACACAGGUACAUCCACUAGCCAGGGCAAACAAAAGAAACCACAAGAGUACCAAGACUGGGAUGACAUGUAGAGAGUAAGUACUAGGUACUACAUUGAAUUCAACAUGUCACCAAGAGUAAAGAUAUGCAAUGAAUUUGACUGAUUUCUUUCCCUUAGGUGUCUUGCUCCCCCUGAAUCUUACAUGGGAUAUUGGGAGAAGAUAGGAAACAGAAAAUCAGAGCUGAAAGAUACAACUGGAUAGAACUUAAUGCAAAUAAGCGUAUAUGAACAUGUCUUUCCCCCAAAAAGACAUGUGACAUCUCUCCUCUUGAACAUCAAGCAUCUGGGAUCCUUGAGUAUUUUCUCUCCCCCUGGAAAUCUCUUUCUCCCCCUUAAUAACAUCUGGGAUCCUUGAGACUUUCUCUCCCCCUUGAGCUUCCCUUAACAACAUCUGGGAUCCUUGAGACUUUCUCUCCCCCUUGAGCUUUGAUGUGAUCUCUCUCUCCCCCUUUGACAUCAAUUUCCAAGAAAGGGCCUUCUGGAAUCCGGCGUAUAGGUUUGGUCCUUGAGACUCAGCACAAAGAAAUGGAUAAAAUUGUGAUGCUUGUAGAGGACAAGAUUCAUUGAGUGGAGCUGGAUCAGAAGAAAUGUAGAACAAGUGGCAAACUGUUUUUCUGAUUGUAAGGUCGGUGGCACCGAGUGGCAUAUUUCGGUGGUACCGAAAGGAUUCGGUUGGACCAAAAAUUGCAAGUUGGUGAAACCGAGUUUACACAGAGAAAAACACUUGUCACCUCAGCUCACUAGACAUGUAGGAUCUCACAAAGAUUUGCAAUGAAUUACCUGAAGGAUUUGCAAGGAAUUAAA